RNAcentral lists this ribosomal RNA (490 nucleotides) under uncultured bacterium. RNAcentral's name for it is "partial 16S ribosomal RNA". It matches the Rfam family "Bacterial small subunit ribosomal RNA", at positions 28 to 507 of the family's 1533-position model. The record is from RNAcentral.
GAUGAACGCUAGCUACAGGCUUAACACAUGCGAGUCGCGGGGCAGCAUGGGGGUUGCUUGCAAUCCCCGAUGGCGACCGGCGCACGGGUGAGUAACGCGUAUCCAACCUGCCCUUCACCACGGGAUAACCCGGCGAAAGUCGGACUAAUACCGUAUGUUGUCCAUUGACGGCAUCCGAUUUGGACGAAAGGCUUGGCGGUGAGGGAUGGGGAUGCGUCCGAUUAGCCAGACGGCGGGGUAACGGCCCACCGUGGCUACGAUCGGUAGGGGUUCUGAGAGGAAGGUCCCCCACACUGGAACUGAGACACGGUCCAGACUCCUACGGGAGGCAGCAGUGAGGAAUAUUGGUCAAUGGGCGUAAGCCUGAACCAGCCAAGUAGCGUGCAGGAUGGCGGCCCUAUGGGUUGUAAACUGCUUUUAUGCGGGGAUAAAGUGGCCCACGUGUGGGCUUUUGCAGGUACCGCAUGAAUAAGGACCGGCUAAUUCCGUG